RNAcentral lists this transfer RNA (72 nucleotides) under Camelus bactrianus (Bactrian camel). It matches the Rfam family "tRNA". From Rfam's summary of the family: Transfer RNA (tRNA) molecules are approximately 80 nucleotides in length. Their secondary structure includes four short double-helical elements and three loops (D, anti-codon, and T loops). Further hydrogen bonds mediate the characteristic L-shaped molecular structure. tRNAs have two regions of fundamental functional importance: the anti-codon, which is responsible for specific mRNA codon recognition, and the 3' end, to which the tRNAs corresponding amino acid is attached (by aminoacyl-tRNA synthetases). tRNAs cope with the degeneracy of the genetic code in two manners: having more than one tRNA (with a specific anti-codon) for a particular amino acid; and 'wobble' base-pairing, i.e. permitting non-standard base-pairing at the 3rd anti-codon position. RNAcentral also lists the same sequence under 2 other names. The record is from Rfam by way of RNAcentral. Lineage: Eukaryota; Metazoa; Chordata; Mammalia; Artiodactyla; Camelidae.
GAGGGUAUAGCUCAGUGGCAGAGCACAUGCUUAGCACGCACAAGGUCCUAGGUUCAAUUCCCAGCACUUCCA